RNAcentral lists this non-coding RNA (148 nucleotides) under Homo sapiens (human). Lineage: Eukaryota; Metazoa; Chordata; Mammalia; Primates; Hominidae. The record is from Rfam by way of RNAcentral.
GCUAGGCAUGGUGGUGCAUGCCUGUAAUCCCAGCUACUUGGGAGGCUGAGGCAGAAGAAUUGCUUGAACUCAGGAGGUGGAGGCUGCAGUGACCUGACAUCGUACCACUGCACUCCAGCCUGGGUGACACAGUGAGAUUCUAUCUCAA